This 368-nucleotide ribosomal RNA is filed under the name uncultured organism. RNAcentral's name for it is "partial 16S ribosomal RNA". It matches the Rfam family "Bacterial small subunit ribosomal RNA", at positions 527 to 896 of the family's 1533-position model. The record is from RNAcentral.
AGAGAGUGCAAGCGUUAAUCGGAAUUACUGGGCGUAAAGCGCACGUAGGUGGAUAUUUAAGUCGGAUGUGAAAGCCCUGGGCUUAACCUAGGAAUUGCAUUCGAUACUGGGUAUCUAGAGUAUAGUAGAGGGAAGUGGAAUUUCCGGUGUAGCGGUGAAAUGCGUAGAUAUCGGAAAGAACACCAGUGGCGAAGGCGGCUUCCUGGACUAAUACUGACACUGAGGUGCGAAAGCGUGGGGAGCAAACAGGAUUAGAGACCCUGGUAGUCCACGCCGUCAACGAUGAGAACUAGCUGUUGGAAGGGUUACCUUUAGUAGCGAAGCUAACGCGUUAAGUUCUCCGCCUGGGGAGUACGACCGCAAGGUUA